CCGACCGACCGACCGUUGCAGUCUUCACCAGAAGGAGAUUGUGUGAAGAAGUGAUACAGCCUGGACGUAAGAGAUUGAAGCUCAAAAGGUGUUGAGAAGCAAGAGGGACAUCUCAUUGAACCCUGUGAACUGGUGCCAUUAAAGUGUGCUUCCCCAGCAUGGUGGCUCAAUGCAAAACUAAAGAACUGAUCAUCGACGUCAGGAACAAAGGUGGAAGACACAUCAAUGGAGCUUAUGUUGAGAGGGUGGAGAGUGUCAAGUUCCUAGGAGUGACAAUAACCGACAAUCUGUCCUGGACCUCCCACGUAGAUGUGACAGUCAAGAAGGUACAAUGACUCCUCUUCUUCCUCGGGUGGCUCAGGAAACUCGGCAUGUCCAUAAGGACCCUCACCAACUUCUGCAGUUGCGCCAUUGAAAGCAUACUGUCCAGUUGGAUAACGGCCUGGUAUGGCAACUGCUCUGCCCAGGACCAUAAGAAACUACAGAAGGUGGUGAACACAGCCCAGACCAUCACGGAAGCCAACUUUCCAUCCAUGGACUCGGUUUAAACUUCUCACUGCCUUGCGAAAGGCAGCCAACAUCAUAAAGACGCUUUGCACGCCGGUAAUACUCUCUUCCAACCUCUUCUGUCAGGCAGAAGAUACAAAAGCUUAAACACAUGUACCAACAAGUUCAAGAACAGCUUCUUCCCUGUUGUUAUUAGACUUCUAAAUGGACCUCUGUAAUUUUAAAUCUAAUGUUGAUCUUGCUUUGUGUAGCUCCUGUACAGUCGUAACCUUGUAUGCCUCGCUCUGUCUAAGCCCCUUCUGAUCUGUAUGUCCUUGUUUACUAUGAUCUGCCUGUACUGCUCCAAAACAAAGCUUUUCACUGUAUGUAGAUAACAACAAUAAAUCAAAUCAAAAGUAGCCAAUAUUAUCAAAGACCCCUCCCACCCUGGUUUUACUCACUUCCACCCUCUUCCGUUGGGCAGAAGAUAUAAAAGUUCGAAGAUGUGUACUAAGAGAUUCAAGAAAGCUUCUUCCCUGCUGUUAUCAGACUUAUGAAUGGAUCUCUCAUAUAUUAGAGUUGAUCUUUCUCUGCACCUUCUCUGUAGCUGCAACACUGUAUUCUGCAUGCUGCUCUAUGAUCCUGAUGUACUGAUGUAAGCUAUAAUUUGUCUGGUUAGCGUGCAAAACAAUACUUUUCACUGUAUCUUGGUGCAUGUGGCAACAAUAAAUCAAAUCAAAUCAAACUCA
Rhincodon typus (whale shark) is the source of this 1235-nucleotide long non-coding RNA. RefSeq lists it as uncharacterized. Lineage: Eukaryota; Metazoa; Chordata; Chondrichthyes; Orectolobiformes; Rhincodontidae. The record is from RefSeq and is a predicted model, not a curated record. The transcript has 3 exons.